UACGGAGGGUGCGAGCGUUGUCCGGAAUCAUUGGGCGUAAAGGGCGCGUAGGUGGCCACUUCAAGCGUGCGGUGAAAGUCGGGGGCUCAACCCCUGAUCGGCCGUGCGAACUGGGGGGCUGGAGCACUGUAGAGGCAGGCGGAAUUCCGGGUGUAGCGGUGGAAUGCGUAGAGAUCCGGAGGAAGACCGGUGGCGAAGGCGGUCUGCUGGGCAGUUUCUGACACUGAGGCGCGACAGCGUGGGGAGCAAACAGG
This 254-nucleotide ribosomal RNA is filed under the name uncultured bacterium. RNAcentral's name for it is "partial 16S ribosomal RNA". It matches the Rfam family "Bacterial small subunit ribosomal RNA", at positions 524 to 776 of the family's 1533-position model. The record is from RNAcentral.